UCAUAUCAAUGUUUAUUUCUGCGUCCGUCCUUACUUCUAAAGCCUUUACGCCACAGUAACAACGUUCUCACGAAUCCGUCGCGCCGUGAAUUCCCUCUCCUUCGCGCCAAAUUAGCCUCCCACUGCUCGCACCAACGGUGCUGUAUCAGUCCCUCCGCCGUCUCCAAUUCUACAGGUUCUGAGACUUCGGCUGUGAGUGAUGGUACCACCGACUUGCUGGAAAGCGUGAUAGUCUACGACUUGAAUGGAAAUGGAAUCCCCAUUUCUGACUUGUGGAAAGAUAGGAAGGCUGUGGUAGCAUUUGCUCGUCAUUUCGGAUGUGGUUCUCUGUCGAACAAGGGCAGCCUACCUUGCUUCUGGAAAGAAUUUUGUGCUUGUUUGACAGGAUACCAUGGAUGCUGCUGGUGUGGCGCUUGUUAUAAUUGGGCCUGGCAGUGUUGAUCAGGCAAAAGUUUUCUCAGAGCAAACAAAGUUCAAAGGAGGAGGCAAGGUGGAAUCAUCGUUGCAGGCCCCGGCAAACAUAACAUCUCAUAUAUCCACAAGGACAAAGAAGCAGGCGAUGACCCGGAGAUACAAGAGAUCUUGAAGGCCUGCUGUGUUCAAGACAACUGAGAAGCAUGGUACUUCUGUAGUAAAAAGUAUAUCUGUAUAUACACACAUCUGAAGUUAAAAUACAAAUACAUCUAUUGUUGUCUCACUUGUCUAUAUUAUGUUGUUGAA
This is a long non-coding RNA of Salvia splendens (bonfire salvia), 720 nucleotides long. RefSeq lists it as uncharacterized. The record is from RefSeq and is a predicted model, not a curated record. Lineage: Eukaryota; Viridiplantae; Streptophyta; Magnoliopsida; Lamiales; Lamiaceae. The transcript is spliced from 7 exons.